Molecule: ribosomal RNA, 322 nt
Filed under: uncultured eukaryote
Lineage: Eukaryota
Description: partial 18S ribosomal RNA
Rfam family: Eukaryotic small subunit ribosomal RNA
Source: RNAcentral
CCCUUAGAUGUUCUGGGCCGCACGCGUGCUACACUGAGUGGAUCAGCGGGUCAGGUUGCGCGAAAGCGUUUCCUAAUCUUUAAAUCCACUCGUGAUGGGGAUUGACGGUUGCAAUUUUCCGUCAUGAACGAGGAAUACCUUGUAAGCGCGGGUCAUCAUCCCGCGCUGAAUACGUCCCUGCCCUUUGUACACACCGCCCGUCGCUCCUACCGAUUGAGUGGUCCGGUGAGGCUUUGGGAUCUGAGCGGAAAGAGCGUUUCGCUGUUUCUGCCCGGAAAACUCAGUCGAACCUUAUCAUUUAGAGGAAGGAGAAGUCGUAACA